Molecule: ribosomal RNA, 1015 nt
Filed under: Gilliamella bombicola
Lineage: Bacteria; Pseudomonadati; Pseudomonadota; Gammaproteobacteria; Orbales; Orbaceae
Description: bacterial SSU rRNA
Rfam family: Bacterial small subunit ribosomal RNA
Source: RNAcentral
UUAAAUUGAAGAGUUUGAUCAUGGCUCAGAUUGAACGCUGGCGGCAGGCUUAACACAUGCAAGUCGAACGGUAACAUGAGUGCUUGCACUUGAUGACGAGUGGCGGACGGGUGAGUAAAGUAUGGGGAUCUGCCGAAUGGAAGGGGACAACAGUUGGAAACGACUGCUAAUACCGUAUAAAGUCGUAAGACCAAAGCAUGGGACUUUCGGGCCAUGCGCCAUUUGAUGAACCCAUAUGGGAUUAGCUAGUAGGUGGGGUAAAGGCUCACCUAGGCGACGAUCUCUAGCUGGUCUGAGAGGAUGACCAGCCACACUGGAACUGAGACACGGUCCAGACUCCUACGGGAGGCAGCAGUGGGGAAUAUUGCACAAUGGGGGGAACCCUGAUGCAGCCAUGCCGCGUGUAUGAAGAAGGCCUUCGGGUUGUAAAGUACUUUCGGUGAUGAGGAAGGUAAUGUAUCUAAUAGGUGCAUUAAUUGACGUUAAUCACAGAAGAAGCACCGGCUAACUCCGUGCCAGCAGCCGCGGUAAUACGGAGGGUGCGAGCGUUAAUCGGAAUGACUGGGCGUAAAGGGCAUGUAGGCGGAUAAUUAAGUUAGGUGUGAAAGCCCUGGGCUCAACCUAGGAAUUGCACUUAAAACUGGUUAACUAGAGUAUUGUAGAGGAAGGUAGAAUUCCACGUGUAGCGGUGAAAUGCGUAGAGAUGUGGAGGAAUACCGGUGGCGAAGGCGGCCUUCUGGACAGAUACUGACGCUGAGAUGCGAAAGCGUGGGGAGCAAACAGGAUUAGAUACCCUGGUAGUCCACGCUGUAAACGAUGUCGAUUUGGAGUUUGUUGCCUAGAGUGAUGGGCUCCGAAGCUAACGCGAUAAAUCGACCGCCUGGGGAGUACGGCCGCAAGGUUAAAACUCAAAUGAAUUGACGGGGGCCCGCACAAGCGGUGGAGCAUGUGGUUUAAUUCGAUGCAACGCGAAGAACCUUACCUGGUCUUGACAUCCACAGAAUCUUGUAGAGAU